RNAcentral lists this unclassified non-coding RNA (253 nucleotides) under uncultured fungus. Its description in RNAcentral is "sequence contains ITS2". The stretch from base 1 to 52 matches the Rfam family "5.8S ribosomal RNA", at positions 103 to 154 of the family's 154-position model. The record is from RNAcentral. Lineage: Eukaryota; Fungi.
AACGCAUAUUGCGCCCUUUGGUAUUCCGAAGGGCAUGCCUGUUCGAGCGUCAUUAUCAACUAUUAAGCCUGGCUUGUCGUUGGACCUUUUUGGCUGAAAUAUGCCGUAGGUCCGAAAUAUAAUGACGGUGUCAUGUUUGACCCUAGAUGCAACGAGCUUUUUAUAGCACGCAUUGAAGUUUGGAUGACCCCGGUCUUAACCAUUAUUUUCUAAGGUUGACCUCGGAUCAGGUAGGAAUACCCGCUGAACUUAA